This 251-nucleotide unclassified non-coding RNA is filed under the name Hevea brasiliensis (rubber tree). Lineage: Eukaryota; Viridiplantae; Streptophyta; Magnoliopsida; Malpighiales; Euphorbiaceae. The record is from RNAcentral.
GUCUUGCGCUGACCACAACGACCACACUUGAACUGAUCAGUUGUGGCUUUUGGUGGACCACCUCGCUGACAAUCAAAUAAUGCUUUCUCUUUAAUAUGGUUAUUUUCCAAUUGUCUCUGUUCGCUUGCCAUUUCUUCAGGGGUCAUUGUGAUGAGCCUCUCUGGUUGGACCUGUCCAAGAAGUACUUUUCUCCUCAAAUCAGGGUUAUUUGGAUCCUUCAUGUUGAACAUUAUGGAUCUGUACUUGAACUU